Molecule: ribosomal RNA, 468 nt
Filed under: uncultured bacterium
Lineage: Bacteria
Description: partial 16S ribosomal RNA
Rfam family: Bacterial small subunit ribosomal RNA
Source: RNAcentral
GAAGAAAGAGGGAGGCGUGCUUAACACAUGCAAGUCGAACGGAAAGACCCUGCUUUUGUGGGGUGCUCGAGUGGCGAACGGGUGAGUAACACGUGAGUAACCUGCCCUUGACUUUGGGAUAACUUCAGGAAACUGGGGCUAAUACCGGAUAGGAGCUCCUGCUGCAUGGUGGGGGUUGGAAAGUUUCGGCGGUUGGGGAUGGACUCGCGGCUUAUCAGCUUGUUGGUGGGGUAGUGGCUUACCAAGGCUUUGACGGGUAGCCGGCCUGAGAGGGUGACCGGCCACAUUGGGACUGAGAUACGGCCCAGACUCCUACGGGAGGCAGCAGUGGGGAAUAUUGCACAAUGGGCGGAAGCCUGAUGCAGCAACGCCGCGUGCGGGAUGACGGCCUUCGGGUUGUAAACCGCUUUCGCCUGUGACGAAGCGUGAGUGACGGUAAUGGGUAAAGAAGCACCGGCUAACUACGUG